ACUGUGGAAGAUUUUACUGAUCAGUUUUUGUCUGUGUUCAGUUUUUCUGCAUAAUAUGAUGAUCUUAGUGAUGACUUUUCUCGCUCUGUGUGUGUGUUCUGGUCAGGUCUCCUGUUUGGGACAACACUGGUGUCAGUGUGACGUUCCACAUUCCCAGCACAGAUAUCAAAGGUGUGGUCAAUGUAUGUGUUCUCCUCCCAGAUGGUAGUUGCCACGGCGAAGCUAACAUCACAUACUUGUCAUCACCAUCCUGUACAAACGCUACUCCAAGCAGCAGCUGGAUAAGUGGGAACAGGAAGAUCACAGUCAGAGGGUCCCACCUGAAGUUUGUUGAAGGCAUUGUACACAGCCAUGCCAUGCAGGAAGUCGCACUUCCUAAAAACAGCAGCUAUCAGAGUCUCACCUAUGACUCACCUUCAGCUGAAAACAGUCCUGGGAUUUCUAGCAGCACUGUGUUUUUGAAAGUAGCUAAUCAAACCUUGGCCUGCUCCACAAACAUGUCCUACUAUCCAGACCCUGAGUUUAUCAGCUUCACAGCCACAAGAACAGGAAACAGUGUUUGCAUCACUAUACGGAAAAAGGCAGACAAACUGGAGAUGACAACAACAGAAUUAUCAGUGUGGGGCGUUCAAGACAGUAAGGAAUACUGCUGCAUCAUGGAAACAAACAAAACCAGUGAUGAGACUCACUCUUUCACUUGUGAGGUUAAAAACCCACCCGACGUGGAAUUUCAGCUGUUGUUGAUAAAGUAUGGUAACAGGACCGUAAGCCUCAGUAAGCCUCGGCCUUCAUCACAUCUUCUAUUGCUGCUUUUGCUGUUGAUACCCUGUGUUAUUGCUGUGCUGGUGUUUAUGUAUCUGUGGAGGAAGAGACGUGCCACAGAAAUAACAUUUAAAGUUUCUUUCCGGUCUCUGCUGGCUGACUGACAAUCUUCACGGAGUUGCUGUACUAAAAGUUGAUUUUUCCAGUUGUUAUAUAAUUUUUUGUAUUUUCAUAUAUUUUUCAUUAGUCAUAUAAACAUAAAACUAAUUAAGGCUUUUCUUGAAAUGUUGAAUUAUUUUGUUCAAGCAGUAUCCCAUUAAAGAUUUUUCUGAUAUCUACUUUUGUGAUAGUUCUCUGACUAAACCAAUUGUUGGGAUUGUAUAUUUAAGACAUUAUAAUGUCAUGUUAUAUUUAACAUUUCCUAGAUUUCUUACAUUGUAUGUUAAACCUUUUGCAUGUUUAGAACAAUAAGAGUCAUUGUAAUAGAUAGUAUGCUACUUCUCUUUCUCUUAAGUGAAAGUGACAUAUGUACUUUUUGGCUCUAAAGCCAUAUAAAGCAUUUCUACAUGCUAUCUAUCUAUUUGGAGAUUGAUGGAGUACUGGAUUGGGCUCCUUUUUGGCCUCAGAACUGCUUUAAUUCUUCAUGAUACAGAUUAAACAAGAUGCUGGAA
This 1433-nucleotide long non-coding RNA is filed under the name Oreochromis niloticus (Nile tilapia). RNAcentral describes it as "lncRNA (ENSONIG00000025896.2)". The record is from RNAcentral. Lineage: Eukaryota; Metazoa; Chordata; Actinopteri; Cichliformes; Cichlidae.